AAGCUCCAAGCCCUUGAGUAAGGCAGCUCAGCCUUAGUGCCUGUAUGCCCGAGGCUGCUCCAGAGCCGUGCAUGUGCCCCUGGGGAUGCUGUGGGGUGGGCUGGGUUUUGUCUGCCUGUCUUCUUCCCGAGAUUGUCAAGGGAGAUGAGAGUGGGCAGCACAGUGUCGUUUCCGUCCUCAGUGCUGAUGUGAUUUUCUCAAAUGGACCUUGUUCCCACAGCUCUAUGACAACACCAAACAGCACAGCGAGGCUGGUCAUGCGGAGCUGACUUACUGCAUCAUGCUGCAGGGUAAGGAGAGGAGCUUUGGCAAUGCUUGCCCUGGCCAAAACCUCUCUCACAAACUUCAGGAAUGGGCAUGAGUUGCCUGCUAACACAGUGUGGGGUUUCCUCCCUGCAGCCCGAAUCUGCCCAGAGGAAACGAUCCUGUUUCUGCAAUCACAGCUGGGCGAUGACUGGGAGGCUGGAUGCGUGGCAUCCCUGGGUCUGCUUGGUGCUCUAGCUCGCUCCGAUGAGCCCAUGAUGACAGAGAAGCUGCCCCAGGUUGUUGAGGCUGUGCAGCGUUUGUGCAGCGACCCCAGGACCCGGGUGAGACAGGCUGUUCUGCAUUUCAUUAAUGAUCUGCUGAAUGCUAAUGCCUGGAGCUGCUCAGCUUGGGAUGUGGUGGGGCACAUUUUCAGUGAGUUCAGCCGUACCACAGAAAGAAGGGCAACCGGAAAGCUUUCUGCCCAGGAAGCCCAGGAAGAAGGAGCUCUCCAGGCACUAUGCAUGGACAUCCUGGUGUCACUGGGCGCCUCUGUGAGAGGAAUGUCCAAAGUAAGUCACACUCUGCCCUACUACUGUUCCUUGCCUUCACACCACACGUUCCUCGUCCUAUUCCACCACCCCA
RNAcentral lists this long non-coding RNA (888 nucleotides) under Phasianus colchicus (ring-necked pheasant). Its description in RNAcentral is "lncRNA (ENSPCLG00000020280.1)". The record is from RNAcentral. Lineage: Eukaryota; Metazoa; Chordata; Aves; Galliformes; Phasianidae.